UACGUAGGCAGCGAGCGUUGUUCGGAGUUACUGGGCGUAAAGCGUGCGUAGGCGGUGGCCCAAGUCUGGUGUGAAAUCUCCCGGCUUAACCGGGAGGGUGCGCCGGAAACUGGGUUGCUGGAGUACGGGAGAGGCAAGCGGAAUUCCAGGUGUAGCGGUGAAAUGCGUAGAUAUCAGGAGGAACACCGAUGGCGAAGGCAGGUCUCUGGGCCACGACUGACGCUGAGAAGCGAAAGCAUGGGGAGCGAACAGG
Molecule: ribosomal RNA, 253 nt
Filed under: uncultured bacterium
Lineage: Bacteria
Description: partial 16S ribosomal RNA
Rfam family: Bacterial small subunit ribosomal RNA
Source: RNAcentral